Labeo rohita (rohu) is the source of this 1332-nucleotide long non-coding RNA. RefSeq lists it as uncharacterized. The transcript is spliced from 3 exons. The record is from RefSeq and is a predicted model, not a curated record. NCBI's taxonomy places the organism in Eukaryota, Metazoa, Chordata, Actinopteri, Cypriniformes, Cyprinidae.
GUGGGAUUACCUAUGGUGGCAUAGUCUUGUGCUUCCUCUGUGAGACUCGCUGGGCUGAGCAGAUGGCAGUGGCCUGGCAGUCACAGCAUGGGUGUAGCGCAUUCUAACCAAUCACAAACAACUCUGUUGAGUUUAUGAAUGCAGUGACCAAUCAGAGGCGUUCAGAUGAGUCAUCUCUUAAGUUUUGUUGUUCAGUGCGCACAACAAAACAACAAAGUCCAGAUGUACAUGCGAUACCAAACUUUGAGAACUCUGACAGUGUACAACUGAACACACCCAUUACGUCUUUGUACAAGCCUCAGUCAGCAAGAACGUGCUCUACCAGCUCUUGUUAUGGCAUCUCAGAUGAGGAAGAAGACUCUCAUCACCGAGGCAUGUCCUGUAUAAAGAGCAUGAAACGGAGAAGACGAUGUUUGUUACAUAUUGAUGCCUAUCAGCCCUGAAGAUGGGAGCCAUGUUUCAUCCCCCCUGCGCUUCUCCGCUGCUUGGCAGACAUGCCCCUUGCCGCUGCAUAAUCAUAUUAAUUUAUGCCCUGAAUCAAUUAUGCAUUCAGAUUCUCCUGAUAGCUUGUCACUUUUUAUCCAUUAGUCUUUGUGCGCCGGUUGUGGGAUGGUAAAUAAAUAGAGAACACAACACGCCCCGCGUCGCCGGAGGUGUGGUGAGGCAUCCGAGUGUAUUUGUGGAGAUUUAAGGGUUAUUAAGCGAAAAGGGGGCAGUCUCUUUAAUUUUUCUUAUCUUGUUUGACACCUCGGCGGGUUUGUUAAUGGCGGCGAAGGAGGGGCCGACAGGGCUGAAGGUGUCACAUCCGAGUCGUAUUUAACAAAGAGAGAGGAAGUUCACCAGGACGCUUGCCAUAAACGAUCACACCACAAAAUGCAAAUAGUUCCUCUGAUGAGGCAUGUUGCUGCUCUCUUGACAGUGUCAGAAUAGCGCAAUUACCUGGGAGAAGAGAGCUGGCACUGGAGGGAGGUACGGGCUGGAGGAGACAGACUUCGGCAUCUGGGCUCGUGUUCACAAAUUGUCUUAUUGCCGAGAGUGUUGAUGCGGAAUGGGAUAUCCGCCUCCGAACUGACCUUAAACAAGAUAUGGAAGGAUGAUUCACAAGCACUGUCAGGAGGACCAGCUGUGACGUGGACUUCUCAUUGAGAGACUGCACAACUAUCACUGUGUGUUUGCUGCUAAUGGCAAAACUCAUUUGUUUAAAUAUAUACUAUUUGGAUAGAGAGCUAAUGGUGAGCAGCUCUCUCAGGCUAAAUGGCCACUUGCAUGCUUGGUAGUCCAGCAAACUGUAUGUAGGCUGCUGAGGGGACCAACUACACUUCUAAUUUAGAU